Non-coding RNA from Dermacentor andersoni, 1663 nucleotides. The record is from RefSeq and is a predicted model, not a curated record. NCBI's taxonomy places the organism in Eukaryota, Metazoa, Arthropoda, Arachnida, Ixodida, Ixodidae.
AAGAGGCCAGGAAGGUUUCGCUGGAAAAUAAUUUCUUCAUCGCCUUGUAUACAGGUUAUAUCUCCUGAGCUGGAGCUUCAUGAUAAAGGCCGACUGCAGCUAAUUUCACUUUGGCUAAAUUUGUAAUGGGUAGCAUAGACCAGAUUAUUUAUGGCUACGUAGAGAGGGUGCCAGCCACGCCGCUACAGUCGACACCAGGUGCUGCCUUCUCGUUGUAUUUGUGGCGCCUGUUCGCCUGUUCGGCUGUUUCAAAGACCUGUCUUUACCGCACCUGCUGUGCUGCUUGCUUACCGAUUUAGCAGAGAAGUGCGAUGUACUGCCGAUACUCAUCUGUUACUCGUGCAUGUGUGUCGGUGGCUGCCCCAACAACCAGAAAAAGGGAACGCUGCGCAUACUUUAGCCCUGCAACACACACGGACACACGAGAAGCUAGUUUCUGUGGCGUGUAUUUGCUUGACGGAUUUCCUGCGGCGCCUGAUAACCACUAUUGUAUAGCUACUUUCAACGUAAAAGGCUUCAUGCCCGGAAAGUUUGCUGGGUGGGCAUUAUCUUUCCCACUGUAAAGUACGUGAUAGUGUAAGCCCUGUCUUAGUGUACUACCUCAAACCGCGGUAGCAUAGGACCGCAAACCACUAGCCAGCAAUCUCGAAUGGCAAUAUUGCUCUCUCGGUGAAAGUAUCCCUGUCAAAAGAACUAUCAAAAGAAUCCCCGUCAAAAGAACAAGCGCCAUUGUGCACCUGCCUUUGCACAAAUAUCUUAGAUAACCAAGAACUUUUCUUUCAGCUAUACAAUUUCAGCGCUUGCUUGUAGCAUGCAAAGGCCCAAUAAGUGCCUUUCGACACUUGCAUAUCGUAACAGUCUAUUUUGAUUCCUUUUGUAGGGUUUGAAAGAGAGGUUAUUCGCAAGAGGAGCGACACAGAGCGAGUCGGUGCCACCAAGAUGCCAAACACUAGUGACAAGGACAAAAACACUGCCCAGCUGGUGACAGGCAUAGCAGCUGGAGUAUUGCUUCCAGCAGCCGUGGUUGCUGGUCCCUUUGCACCGUUGGUGGUAACAGCUGGACUAGGACUGGCUGCCAUCGGAUGCACAGCAGGAGUCAUUACUCUUUCGUUGCUGCCAGACGAUAAAAAAGAAGAAACAGGCACAUCAAACAAUGAAACCCCUAAGGCGCCCGAAGGCAAAUGACGGACCUUGAUGACGGACCUUGAUGACGGACCUUGAUGACGGACCUUGAUGACGGACCUUGAUGACGGACCUUGAUGACGGACCUUGAUGACGGACCUUGAUGACGGGCCUUGAUGACGACGGGCCUUGAUGACGACGGGCCUUGAUGAUGACGGGCCUUGAUGACGACGGGCCUUGAUGACGACGGGCCUUGAUGAUGACGGGCCUUGAUGACGACGGGCCUUGAUGACGACGGGCCUUGAUGACGACGGGCCUUGAUGACGACGGGCCUUGAUGACGACGGGCCUUGAUGACGGACCACACAGACCACGCGGACUUGAAAUGACGGACCAUGCAGACGGACCUUCUAAGGGGCGGUCUGCGUGGCUAAUUGAAAAGUAAGCCGACAAGUGUAGAAGGGCCUAUUUGCAAUUUCUGGAAUUAUCUAACAGCUUUGAUGGCAUUUUCUAUGAAUAAAAAUGAGGUGUUUCGUACCACA